RNAcentral lists this ribosomal RNA (492 nucleotides) under uncultured bacterium. Its description in RNAcentral is "partial 16S ribosomal RNA". It matches the Rfam family "Bacterial small subunit ribosomal RNA", at positions 29 to 507 of the family's 1533-position model. The record is from RNAcentral.
AGUGAACGCUGGCGGUAGGCCUAACACAUGCAAGUCGAACGGCAGCACAGUAAGGGCUUGCUCUUACGGGUGGCGAGUGGCGGACGGGUGAGGAAUCAAUCGGAAUCUACUUUUUCGUGGGGGAUAACGUAGGGAAACUUACGCUAAUACCGCAUACGACCUACGGGUGAAAGAAGGGGAUCUUCGGACCUUGCGCGAUUGAAUGAGCCGAUGUCGGAUUAGCUAGUUGGCGGGGUAAAGGCCCACCAAGGCGACGAUCCGUAGCUGGUCUGAGAGGAUGAUCAGCCACACUGGAACUGAGACACGGUCCAGACUCCUACGGGAGGCAGCAGUGGGGAAUAUUGGACAAUGGGCGCAAGCCUGAUCCAGCCAUACCGCGUGGGUGAAGAAGGCCUUCGGGUUGUAAAGCCCUUUUGUUGGGAAAGAAAAGCAGCAGGUUAAUACCCCGCUGUUCUGACGGUACCCAAAGAAUAAGCACCGGCUAACUUCGUG